Molecule: ribosomal RNA, 1414 nt
Filed under: Chodsigoa parca (Lowe's shrew)
Lineage: Eukaryota; Metazoa; Chordata; Mammalia; Eulipotyphla; Soricidae
Description: partial 16S ribosomal RNA
Rfam family: Bacterial large subunit ribosomal RNA
Source: RNAcentral
ACUAAAGCUAGCCCAAACAUUAAUCCAACCCUGUAUAAACAACAACAUUCCAUAAAAUAAAACAUUUGUAACCAUAAAAGUAUAGGAGAUAGAAAUUUUUAACAUGGAGCUAUAGAGAAAGUACCGUAAGGGAACGAGUGAAAGAUCAAUUAAAAGUAACAAAUAGCAAAGAUUACCCCUUGUACCUUUUGCAUAAUGAUUUAACCAGAAAAAACUUAGCACAGCGACCUUCAGUUAAGCCCCCCGAAACCAGACGAGCUAUCCAUGAACAGCUAAUUUGAGCAAACUCGUCUAUGUAGCAAAAUAGUGAGAAGAUUUAUGGAUAGUGGUGAAAAGCCUAUCGAGCCUGGUGAUAGCUGGUUGUCCAGCCAAGAAUUUUAGUUCAACUUUAAAUUUACCCCUUAACCCAUUAAUUUCUAUGUAAAUUUAACUGUUAAUCUAAAGAGGUACAGCUCUUUAGAUCUAGGAUACAACCUUAAUUAGAGAGUAAAUCCAAAUAAACAACCAUAGUUGGCCCAAAAGCAGCCAUCAAUUAAGAAAGCGUUCAAGCUCAACAAAUAAUUACUCUUAAUUCAAGACUUUACAAUCACCUCCUAAUCAAACACUGGACUAAUCUAUAAUAUUGUAGAAGUAACACUGUUAAUAUGAGUAACAAGAUUAAAAUCUCCUAGGCGCAAACUUAUGUCAGAUCAAAUAAUAACUGAUAUUUAACAGCCAAUCAAACAAACCCAAAAAUUAAUAAUUUAUGCUUUUACUGUUAACCCGACACAGGAGCGCCACAUAUUAAGGAAAGAUUAAAAGAAGUAAAAGGAACUCGGCAAACAUAAACCCCGCCUGUUUACCAAAAACAUCACCUCUAGCAUUNNNNNNNNNNNNNNNNCUGCCUGCCCAGUGACAAUUGUUUAACGGCCGCGGUAUCCUGACCGUGCAAAGGUAGCAUAAUCAUUUGUUCUUUAAAUAAGGACUUGUAUGAAUGGCCACACGAGGGUUUAACUGUCUCUUACUUCCAAUCAGUGAAAUUGACCUUUCCGUGAAGAGGCGGAAAUAAUCCAAUAAGACGAGAAGACCCUAUGGAGCUUUAAUUUAUCUUACCCAAAAAGAAACUAUUUACUCACAAAUUAGUGAAUUAACACGUAUUCUAUACUGGGUAAAAAAUUUUGGUUGGGGUGACCUCGGAGAACAAAAAAACCUCCGAGAAUUCAAUACCAAGACUAACAAGUCAAAGUAAAACAUACCACUGAUCCAGUCUAACUGAUCAACGGAACAAGUUACCCUAGGGAUAACAGCGCAAUCCUAUUUAAGAGUCCAUAUCGACAAUAGGGUUUACGACCUCGAUGUUGGAUCAGGACAUCCUAAUGGUGCAGCCGCUAUUAAUGGUUCGUUUGUUCAACGAUUAAAGUCCUACGUGAUCUGA